ACGGGGGGAGCAAGCGUUGUUCGGAUUUACUGGGCGUAAAGGGCGCGUAGGCGGUCAGCACAAGUCAGUUGUGAAAUCUCCGGGCUUAACUCGGAAAGGUCAACUGAUACUGUGCGACUAGAGUGCGGAAGGGGCAACUGGAAUUCUCGGUGUAGCGGUGAAAUGCGUAGAUAUCGAGAGGAACACCUGCGGCGAAGGCGGGUUGCUGGGCCGACACUGACGCUGAGGCGCGAAAGCCAGGGGAGCGAACGGGAUUAGAUACCCCGGUAGUCCUGGCCUUAAACGAUGGAUGCUUGGUGUCUGGGGUUUUAUAGUCCCCGGGUGCCGUAGCUAACGCGUUAAGCAUCCCGCCUGGGGAGUACGGUCGCAAGACUG
RNAcentral lists this ribosomal RNA (375 nucleotides) under uncultured bacterium. Its description in RNAcentral is "bacterial SSU rRNA". It matches the Rfam family "Bacterial small subunit ribosomal RNA", at positions 525 to 896 of the family's 1533-position model. The record is from RNAcentral.